Molecule: ribosomal RNA, 416 nt
Filed under: uncultured bacterium
Lineage: Bacteria
Description: bacterial SSU rRNA
Rfam family: Bacterial small subunit ribosomal RNA
Source: RNAcentral
CAGCCGCCGCGGUAAUACGGAGGGUGCAAGCGUUAAUCGGAAUUACUGGGCGUAAAGCGCACGCAGGCGGUUUGUUAAGUCAGAUGUGAAAUCCCCGGGCUCAACCUGGGAACUGCAUCUGAUACUGGCAAGCUUGAGUCUCGUAGAGGGGGGUAGAAUUCCAGGUGUAGCGGUGAAAUGCGUAGAGAUCUGGAGGAAUACCGGUGGCGAAGGCGGCCCCCUGGACGAAGACUGACGCUCAGGUGCGAAAGCGUGGGGAGCAAACAGGAUUAGAUACCCUGGUAGUCCACGCCGUAAACGAUGUCGACUUGGAGGUUGUGCCCUUGAGGCGUGGCUUCCGGAGCUAACGCGUUAAGUCGACCGCCUGGGGAGUACGGCCGCAAGGUUAAAACUCAAAGGAAUUGGCGGGGGAGCAC